RNAcentral lists this ribosomal RNA (498 nucleotides) under uncultured bacterium. RNAcentral describes it as "partial 16S ribosomal RNA". It matches the Rfam family "Bacterial small subunit ribosomal RNA", at positions 28 to 507 of the family's 1533-position model. The record is from RNAcentral.
GACGAACGCUGGCGGCGUGCCUAAUACAUGCCAGUCGAGCGGACGAAUCGAAAGCUUGCUUUUGAUUCGUUAGCGGCGGACGGGUGAGUAACACGUGGGCAACCUGCCCUGUAGACGGGGAUAACACCGAGAAAUCGGUGCUAAUACCGGAUAACACGAAAUGUCGCAUGACGUUUCGUUGAAAGACGGCGCAAGCUGUCGCUACAGGAUGGGCCCGCGGCGCAUUAGCUAGUUGGUGAGGUAACGGCUCACCAAGGCGACGAUGCGUAGCCGACCUGAGAGGGUGAUCGGCCACACCGGGACUGAGACACGGCCCAGACUCCUACGGGAGGCAGCAGUAGGGAAUCUUCCGCAAUGGACGAAAGUCUGACGGAGCAACGUCGCGUGAGCGAAGAAGGCCUUCGGGUCGUAAAGCUCUGUUGUUAGGGAAGAACAAGUAACGCAGUAACUGGCGUUACCGUGACGGUACCUAACGAGAAAGCCACGGCUAACUACGUG